CACCAGUGGAACCAAAGUGUAUCACUUUACAAUAAUAUAAUGUGUCAUCUAUGCACAUGAGCUUGUUAAAUGUCAUAACUGCCUUUGUCGUUGAUUGUGUUAUAUUCACCAGUGUUACUCUUCCUUUUAAAUAUUGUCCAUCAUCGGUUAAAUACGGAAAAGAGUUUGGGAUAUAAAGUGCUAUUUCGUUAAACUUAUGGCUACUUUUGUUCAAAGC
RNAcentral lists this long non-coding RNA (217 nucleotides) under Mytilus galloprovincialis (Mediterranean mussel). Lineage: Eukaryota; Metazoa; Mollusca; Bivalvia; Mytilida; Mytilidae. The record is from RNAcentral.